RNAcentral lists this ribosomal RNA (1499 nucleotides) under uncultured bacterium. RNAcentral describes it as "bacterial SSU rRNA". It matches the Rfam family "Bacterial small subunit ribosomal RNA". The record is from RNAcentral.
AUUAGAGUUUGAUCCUGGCUCAGGAUGAACGCUGGCGGCGUGGAUAAGGCAUGCAAGUCGAGUGGGUUUAGACCCACGGCAAACGGGUUAGUAAUGCAUAGGAAUCUACCUUGAAGUCGUGAAUAACUCGGAGAAAUCCGUGACAAUACACGAUAGUCUCUACGGAGAAAAGAUUUAUCGCUUCAAGAGGAGCCUGUGUCCUAUCAGCUUGUUGGUAGUGUAAUGGACUACCAAGGCUAUGACGGGUAGGGGGUGUGAGAGCACGGCCCCCAACAUUGGGACUGAGACACUGCCCAAACUCCUACGGGAGGCUGCAGUCGAGAAUAUUCGUCAAUGCCCGAAAGGGUGAACGAGCGACGCCGCGUGCGGGAUGAAGGCCCUUGGGUCGUAAACCGCUUUUCUUAGGGAAGAAUGCAAUGACGGUACCUAAGGAAUAAGAGGCUACUAACUCUGUGCCAGCAGUAGCGGUAAUACAGAGGCCUCAAGCGUUAUCCGGAUUUAUUGGGCGUAAAGAGCAUGUAGGCGGGUAUAUUAGUCAGAUGUCAAAUCUCGGGGCUCAACUCCGAAACUGCAUUUGAAACGGUAUACCUAGAGACAGUCAGAGAUCAAUGGAACGUAUGGUGUAGCAGUGAAAUGCGUUGAUAUCAUACGGAACACCAAAGGCGAAGGCAUUUGGUUGGGGCUGUUCUGACGCUGAGAUGCGAAAGCGUGGGUAGCGAAUGGGAUUAGAUACCCCAGUAGUCCACGCCGUAAACGAUGCAUACUAGGUAUUAAGAGAAUCGACCCUCUUAGUGUCGUAGCUAACGCGUUAAGUAUGCCGCCUGGGAAGUACGGUCGCAAGACUAAAACUCAAAGGAAUAGACGGGGAUCCGCACAAGUGGUGGAGCAUGUGGUUUAAUUCGACGAUAAGCGGGAAACCUCACCAUGGUUUGAAACUAUACUGCAUUAUGCAGAAACGCAUAAGCCUUCGAGGGUGUAUAGCAGGUGCUGCACGGUUGUCGUCAGCUCGUGUCGUAAGAUGUUCUGUUAAGUCAGGAAACGAGCGCAACCCCUAUCGUGUGUUAUAUUGUCACACGAGACUGCCCAGAACAAAGCGCACAUCAGGUGCGCAGUAAAAAGUUCAUAAUGUUCGUAAAGUUCCAUACUUUAUAAACCUUAUAAACUUUAAACUUUAUAAACUGCGCGUGAAGCGCGUUUCGUUCUGGGAGGAAGGUGGGGAUGACGUCAAAUCAGCGUGGCCCUUUGACACCAUGGGCAACACACGUGCUACAAUGGCCAAUACAAAGGGUUGCCAAGUCGCGAGACGGAGCUAAUCCCAAAAAGUUGGUCUCAGUUCGGAUUGGAGUCUGCAACUCGACUCCAUGAAGCCGGAAUCACUAGUAAUCGUGAAUCAGAACGUCACGGUGAAUACGUUCUCGGAUCUUGUACUCACCGCCCGUUACACCAAGAGAGUCGGUAACACCCAAAGACCCUGUUCAAAGCAGGUCCACGGUGAUCGA